This 2925-nucleotide ribosomal RNA is filed under the name Escherichia coli. RNAcentral's name for it is "23S ribosomal RNA". It matches the Rfam family "Bacterial large subunit ribosomal RNA". Lineage: Bacteria; Pseudomonadati; Pseudomonadota; Gammaproteobacteria; Enterobacterales; Enterobacteriaceae. The record is from RNAcentral.
GGGUUGUGAGGUUAAGCGACUAAGCGUACACGGUGGAUGCCCUGGCAGUCAGAGGCGAUGAAGGACGUGCUAAUCUGCGAUAAGCGUCGGUAAGGUGAUAUGAACCGUUAUAACCGGCGAUUUCCGAAUGGGGAAACCCAGUGUGAUUCGUCACACUAUCAUUAACUGAAUCCAUAGGUUAAUGAGGCGAACCGGGGGAACUGAAACAUCUAAGUACCCCGAGGAAAAGAAAUCAACCGAGAUUCCCCCAGUAGCGGCGAGCGAACGGGGAGCAGCCCAGAGCCUGAAUCAGUGUGUGUGUUAGUGGAAGCGUCUGGAAAGGCGCGCGAUACAGGGUGACAGCCCCGUACACAAAAAUGCACAUGCUGUGAGCUCGAUGAGUAGGGCGGGACACGUGGUAUCCUGUCUGAAUAUGGGGGGACCAUCCUCCAAGGCUAAAUACUCCUGACUGACCGAUAGUGAACCAGUACCGUGAGGGAAAGGCGAAAAGAACCCCGGCGAGGGGAGUGAAAAAGAACCUGAAACCGUGUACGUACAAGCAGUGGGAGCACGCUUAGGCGUGUGACUGCGUACCUUUUGUAUAAUGGGUCAGCGACUUAUAUUCUGUAGCAAGGUUAACCGAAUAGGGGAGCCGAAGGGAAACCGAGUCUUAACUGGGCGUUAAGUUGCAGGGUAUAGACCCGAAACCCGGUGAUCUAGCCAUGGGCAGGUUGAAGGUUGGGUAACACUAACUGGAGGACCGAACCGACUAAUGUUGAAAAAUUAGCGGAUGACUUGUGGCUGGGGGUGAAAGGCCAAUCAAACCGGGAGAUAGCUGGUUCUCCCCGAAAGCUAUUUAGGUAGCGCCUCGUGAAUUCAUCUCCGGGGGUAGAGCACUGUUUCGGCAAGGGGGUCAUCCCGACUUACCAACCCGAUGCAAACUGCGAAUACCGGAGAAUGUUAUCACGGGAGACACACGGCGGGUGCUAACGUCCGUCGUGAAGAGGGAAACAACCCAGACCGCCAGCUAAGGUCCCAAAGUCAUGGUUAAGUGGGAAACGAUGUGGGAAGGCCCAGACAGCCAGGAUGUUGGCUUAGAAGCAGCCAUCAUUUAAAGAAAGCGUAAUAGCUCACUGGUCGAGUCGGCCUGCGCGGAAGAUGUAACGGGGCUAAACCAUGCACCGAAGCUGCGGCAGCGACGCUUAUGCGUUGUUGGGUAGGGGAGCGUUCUGUAAGCCUGCGAAGGUGUGCUGUGAGGCAUGCUGGAGGUAUCAGAAGUGCGAAUGCUGACAUAAGUAACGAUAAAGCGGGUGAAAAGCCCGCUCGCCGGAAGACCAAGGGUUCCUGUCCAACGUUAAUCGGGGCAGGGUGAGUCGACCCCUAAGGCGAGGCCGAAAGGCGUAGUCGAUGGGAAACAGGUUAAUAUUCCUGUACUUGGUGUUACUGCGAAGGGGGGACGGAGAAGGCUAUGUUGGCCGGGCGACGGUUGUCCCGGUUUAAGCGUGUAGGCUGGUUUUCCAGGCAAAUCCGGAAAAUCAAGGCUGAGGCGUGAUGACGAGGUACUACGGUGCUGAAGCAACAAAUGCCCUGCUUCCAGGAAAAGCCUCUAAGCAUCAGGUAACAUCAAAUCGUACCCCAAACCGACACAGGUGGUCAGGUAGAGAAUACCAAGGCGCUUGAGAGAACUCGGGUGAAGGAACUAGGCAAAAUGGUGCCGUAACUUCGGGAGAAGGCACGCUGAUAUGUAGGUGAAGUCCCUCGCGGAUGGAGCUGAAAUCAGUCGAAGAUACCAGCUGGCUGCAACUGUUUAUUAAAAACACAGCACUGUGCAAACACGAAAGUGGACGUAUACGGUGUGACGCCUGCCCGGUGCCGGAAGGUUAAUUGAUGGGGUUAGCGCAAGCGAAGCUCUUGAUCGAAGCCCCGGUAAACGGCGGCCGUAACUAUAACGGUCCUAAGGUAGCGAAAUUCCUUGUCGGGUAAGUUCCGACCUGCACGAAUGGCGUAAUGAUGGCCAGGCUGUCUCCACCCGAGACUCAGUGAAAUUGAACUCGCUGUGAAGAUGCAGUGUACCCGCGGCAAGACGGAAAGACCCCGUGAACCUUUACUAUAGCUUGACACUGAACAUUGAGCCUUGAUGUGUAGGAUAGGUGGGAGGCUUUGAAGUGUGGACGCCAGUCUGCAUGGAGCCGACCUUGAAAUACCACCCUUUAAUGUUUGAUGUUCUAACGUUGACCCGUAAUCCGGGUUGCGGACAGUGUCUGGUGGGUAGUUUGACUGGGGCGGUCUCCUCCUAAAGAGUAACGGAGGAGCACGAAGGUUGGCUAAUCCUGGUCGGACAUCAGGAGGUUAGUGCAAUGGCAUAAGCCAGCUUGACUGCGAGCGUGACGGCGCGAGCAGGUGCGAAAGCAGGUCAUAGUGAUCCGGUGGUUCUGAAUGGAAGGGCCAUCGCUCAACGGAUAAAAGGUACUCCGGGGAUAACAGGCUGAUACCGCCCAAGAGUUCAUAUCGACGGCGGUGUUUGGCACCUCGAUGUCGGCUCAUCACAUCCUGGGGCUGAAGUAGGUCCCAAGGGUAUGGCUGUUCGCCAUUUAAAGUGGUACGCGAGCUGGGUUUAGAACGUCGUGAGACAGUUCGGUCCCUAUCUGCCGUGGGCGCUGGAGAACUGAGGGGGGCUGCUCCUAGUACGAGAGGACCGGAGUGGACGCAUCACUGGUGUUCGGGUUGUCAUGCCAAUGGCACUGCCCGGUAGCUAAAUGCGGAAGAGAUAAGUGCUGAAAGCAUCUAAGCACGAAACUUGCCCCGAGAUGAGUUCUCCCUGACUCCUUGAGAGUCCUGAAGGAACGUUGAAGACGACGACGUUGAUAGGCCGGGUGUGUAAGCGCAGCGAUGCGUUGAGCUAACCGGUACUAAUGAACCGUGAGGCUUAACCUUACAACGCCGAAG